UACAGAGGUCUCAACCGUUGUUUCGGAUUCAUUGGGGCGUAAAGGGUGCGUAGGCGGUCGCGCGAGUCGGAUGUGAAAUCUCAGGGCUCACCCUGAAACUGCAUUCGAUACUGCGUGGCUAGAGUGCUGGAGAGGAGACUGGAAUUUACGGUGUAGCAGUGAAAUGCGUAGAUGAUCGUAAGGAAGACCAGUCGGCGAAGGCGAGUCUCUGGAGCAGCAACUGACGCUGAGGCACCGAAG
RNAcentral lists this ribosomal RNA (240 nucleotides) under uncultured bacterium. RNAcentral's name for it is "partial 16S ribosomal RNA". It matches the Rfam family "Bacterial small subunit ribosomal RNA", at positions 524 to 759 of the family's 1533-position model. The record is from RNAcentral.